CAGUCGCCGCGGUAAUACAGAGGGUGCGAGCGUUAAUCGGAUUUACUGGGCGUAAAGCGUGCGUAGGCGGCUUCUUAAGUCGGAUGUGAAAUCCCUGAGCUUAACUUAGGAAUUGCAUUCGAUACUGGGAAGCUAGAGUAUGGGAGAGGAUGGUAGAAUUCCAGGUGUAGCGGUGAAAUGCGUAGAGAUCUGGAGGAAUACCGAUGGCGAAGGCAGCCAUCUGGCCUAAUACUGACGCUGAGGUACGAAAGCAUGGGGAGCAAACAGGAUUAGAUACCCCUGUAGCCCUGUCUCUUAUACC
This 301-nucleotide ribosomal RNA is filed under the name uncultured bacterium. RNAcentral's name for it is "partial 16S ribosomal RNA". It matches the Rfam family "Bacterial small subunit ribosomal RNA", at positions 509 to 808 of the family's 1533-position model. The record is from RNAcentral.